This 252-nucleotide ribosomal RNA is filed under the name uncultured bacterium. RNAcentral's name for it is "partial 16S ribosomal RNA". It matches the Rfam family "Bacterial small subunit ribosomal RNA", at positions 524 to 776 of the family's 1533-position model. The record is from RNAcentral.
UACGAAGGGGGCUAGCGUUGCUCGGAAUCACUGGGCGUAAAGGGUGCGUAGGCGGGUCUUUAAGUCAGGGGUGAAAUCCUGGAGCUCAACUCCAGAACUGCCUUUGAUACUGAAGAUCUUGAGUUCGGGAGAGGUGAGUGGAACUGCGAGUGUAGAGGUGAAUUCGUAGAUAUUCGCAAGAACACCAGUGGCGAAGGCGGCUGUCUGGUCCGGUUCUGACGCUGAGGCGAGCAAGCGGUGGGAGCAAACAGG